Non-coding RNA from Treponema socranskii subsp. socranskii, 73 nucleotides. Lineage: Bacteria; Pseudomonadati; Spirochaetota; Spirochaetia; Treponematales; Treponemataceae. The record is from Rfam.
GGCGGCAUAGCUCAGUUGGUAGAGCAUACGGCUCAUAUCCGUAGUGUCUGUGGUUCAAUCCCACAUGCCGCUA